GAUGAACGCUGGCGGCGUGCUUAACACAUGCAAGUCGAACGAUGAAGCCCAGCUUGCUGGGUGGAUUAGUGGCGAACGGGUGAGUAACACGUGAGUAACCUGCCCUUAACUCUGGGAUAAGCCUGGGAAACUGGGUCUAAUACCGGAUAGGAGCGUCCACCGCAUGGUGGGUGUUGGAAAGAUUUAUCGGUUUUGGAUGGACUCGCGGCCUAUCAGCUUGUUGGUGAGGUAAUGGCUCACCAAGGCGACGACGGGUAGCCGGCCUGAGAGGGUGACCGGCCACCCUGGGACUGAGACCCGGCCCGGCCCCCCCCGGGGGGCGCGGGGGGGGAUUAUGUCACAAGGGGCGCAAGCCUGAGGCAGCGGCCCCGGGGGGGGGAUGACGGCCUUCGGUUGGAAACCCCCUUUCAGGGGGGAAGAAGCGAAAGUGGCGGUCCCUGCAGAAGAAGCACCGGCUAACUGCGG
This 465-nucleotide ribosomal RNA is filed under the name uncultured bacterium. RNAcentral's name for it is "partial 16S ribosomal RNA". It matches the Rfam family "Bacterial small subunit ribosomal RNA", at positions 28 to 506 of the family's 1533-position model. The record is from RNAcentral.